UGGAGGCAGCAGUGGGGAAUAUUGGUUAAUGUGGGAAACCGCGAACCAGCAACGCCGCGUGCACGAUGAAGGCCUUCGGGUCGUAAAGUGCUUUUAGAGAGGAUGAGGAAGGACAGUACUCUCUGAAUAAGCCUCGGCUAACUACGUGCCAGCAGCCGCGGUAAAACGUAGGAGGCGAGCGUUAUCCGGAUUUACUGGGCGUAAAGCGCGUGUAGGCGGUCUGACAAGUUGGAUGUGAAAGCUCCUGGCUUAACUGGGAGAGGUCGUUCAAAACUGUUAGACUUGAGAGUGGUAGAGGGAGGUGGAAUUCCGGGUGUAGUGGCGAAAUGCGUAGAUAUCCGGAGGAACACCAGUGGCGAAAGCGGCCUCCUGGACCAUUUCUGACGCUCAGACGCGAAAGCUAAGGUAGCAAACGGGCUUAGAUACCCCGGUAGUCCC
This 438-nucleotide ribosomal RNA is filed under the name uncultured bacterium. Its description in RNAcentral is "bacterial SSU rRNA". It matches the Rfam family "Bacterial small subunit ribosomal RNA", at positions 343 to 797 of the family's 1533-position model. The record is from RNAcentral.